Molecule: ribosomal RNA, 621 nt
Filed under: Triticum aestivum (bread wheat)
Lineage: Eukaryota; Viridiplantae; Streptophyta; Magnoliopsida; Poales; Poaceae
Description: partial small subunit ribosomal RNA
Source: RNAcentral
AUGGAAGGAAAAGACACCUUGCGAUUGGGACUAGUAAAACGAAUUGGAUCCGGUGAACAGACUAACAUCUGGAGCGAUAACUGGAUACCACGAGAUUUCAAACUCCGACCGGUAUGCCCCAAAACUCCAAACCCCCCUCGAAUGGUGUCCGAACUGAUCAACCCGAUCACAUCAUCUUGGGAUAUGGACAAGCUUGAGACUCAUUUUUAUAUGAUGGACAAGGAAGCCAUCUGUGAUAUCCCGCUAAGUUGUCGUGUUCGCGAAGAUUUCUGGGCGUGGCAUUAUGAACGGAAGGGAACAUUCACUGUCAGGUCUGCAUACAAGCUGCUGUCCGCAACAAAACAGCAACGCACGGACUGGCUGGAAAACAAUGAGGGUCACUCGCGUGUGGAUUCAGACCACAGGUCUUGGUCUACGCUUUGGGGCGCUGCAGUUCCCUCAAAAGUACGUGUGUUUGCUUGGCGUUUGGCGAAGAGCUCCAUCCCUACAGGAGAGGUACGGAAGCACCGAAGCAUGACUGACUCGGCGGAAUGCUCUAUCUGUCACGCAACAGUUGACACCUGGCGCCAUUCUCUCUUCGACUGCCACAUGGCCCGGUGUGUCUGGGCACUCACCGAAGAA